Triticum dicoccoides is the source of this 789-nucleotide long non-coding RNA. RefSeq lists it as uncharacterized. The transcript is spliced from 3 exons. The record is from RefSeq and is a predicted model, not a curated record. Lineage: Eukaryota; Viridiplantae; Streptophyta; Magnoliopsida; Poales; Poaceae.
CAUGUGAAUCGUAAGACCUCUGAAGACAUUGUUUAUGUUUACGGGGGAAAGCUGGUGUGGAGAGCACAAAGUCCUAUCGGUGUGAAUGCCCAGCGUCGAUAAGGCUGUUAUGGACAGAGGAAAAUGGGUGGUAUAUCGCCGAGCAUCGGGAGAGUCAUAACCAUUCUUUUUCACCAAAUUUCGGUGAGACAGUUCACUGGCCGUCCCACAAGCACAUUGAUGUGUACAGCAGGGACGUGAUAAAAUAGUUGCGGCAGAAUAAUGCAUACCUUGUGAAGGUGUAUAUAGGAUAGUAGGCAGUUUUUUUGGAUCGAGGGAAAAUGUGCCAUUCACGAAGAGGUCUUUGUGUAAUCUGUGCGGCACGAUUAGCAGGGAACAUUCAGAUGACGAUGUAAGGAAAUUGGAGCGAAGGACAUCAUUUCACAUACAGAGUUCAGCCUGACAAAGACGGCAGGUUGCAUUACACGUUUUUCAGUGAUGUGUUAGACAUUUGACACAGCCUUUCGGCCUAUUUGUUGGUGUGAAUAAUCCUUUCCAGAGUGUUAUCCUGGAUGGAGUGCUUGUGUGUGACGAAACCAUCGAGGGUUUCGAAUGGGUUUUCUCUGAAUUUCUGAGAAUGAUGGGUGGCGCUGCACCGAUAACAAUACUUACCGCUACAACACUUUGCCUCCUUGCCCAAUAACCCAAGAUCCUCACCAAGAUUCGUAGGGGAAUUUUUCUUGCCUGGGUCUCUGUAGAAUGCAAGCAGCGUGGCAUGUAUGCUGAGAAAGGUGUUUGUUUGUCGAGUGG